This is a non-coding RNA of Triticum aestivum (bread wheat), 136 nucleotides long. The record is from Rfam. Lineage: Eukaryota; Viridiplantae; Streptophyta; Magnoliopsida; Poales; Poaceae.
UUUAUACUCCCUCCAUCCGGAAAUACUUAUCAUCAAAAUGGAUAAAAGGAGAUGUAUCUAGAUGUAUUUUAGUUCUAGAUACAUCUCUUUUUUAUCCAUUUUGAUGACAAGUAUUUUUGAACGGAGGGAAUAAUAA